ACCCCCUGGCAAUGGGCAAAGAGACACUGUAUUGGUGGUGGUGUUCUUCUGUCAGUCAGGGCCUGAGCAGAUGGCAGUCCUGUGUUCAUCCUAGUUUGAUGCCUGGCUUGGUGGCCAAAGCUGUCUGAUACCUAGGACUCAUAA
Mastomys coucha (southern multimammate mouse) is the source of this 144-nucleotide small nucleolar RNA. RefSeq annotates it as small nucleolar RNA SNORA48. Lineage: Eukaryota; Metazoa; Chordata; Mammalia; Rodentia; Muridae. The record is from RefSeq and is a predicted model, not a curated record. The transcript has a single exon.